Molecule: long non-coding RNA, 214 nt
Filed under: Elaeis guineensis (African oil palm)
Lineage: Eukaryota; Viridiplantae; Streptophyta; Magnoliopsida; Arecales; Arecaceae
Description: long non-coding RNA (EGUI_LNC079648)
Source: RNAcentral
GUUGAAUAUGGUUUAGUAAAUUUGAAUUUUCAAGUAGGAGCUUGGAGAGUGGAUGUAGGUGCAAGGUUGGCACCGAACCAUUAUAAAUCUUUUUGUUUGUAUUGUGCUUACUUGUUCUCUUUUUAAAUUUUCUUAUCUUCUUGCAUUCUUGGGUCCAACUUCUUCACCUUGUAUAAAUUUUACUCUCCACAUUUAUCUUGCUCAUUAUUAAAUA